CUUACAAAUCACUUGGUUUCAACUUUCAACUUGAGGUGAUGGUUUUAAAAUUUUAUGUGAGUUCUUUGAUGAUGCUUUGGGUGGGAGUUUGGUGUUUCUCCAUAACCUGCAUAGGAGGACCAAAGCUUGAAUUACAAUUAGAGCAUCAAAGGAAGGAGAUGUGGACAUGCAUGACUUAAUUGG
This is a long non-coding RNA of Dioscorea cayenensis subsp. rotundata (Guinea yam), 183 nucleotides long. RefSeq lists it as uncharacterized. The transcript has 3 exons. The record is from RefSeq and is a predicted model, not a curated record. Lineage: Eukaryota; Viridiplantae; Streptophyta; Magnoliopsida; Dioscoreales; Dioscoreaceae.